UACCAGCUCCCUGAGUGGUCGGGGCGUUUAUUGGGCCUAAAGCGUCCGUAGCCGGCCUUGUAGGUCUCCUGUUAAAUUCAGCGGCUCAACCGAUGAACUGCAGGAGAUACCGCAGGGCUAGGAGGCGGGAGAGGCGGACGGUACUCCAUGGGUAGGGGUAAAAUCCUUUGAUCCAUGGAAGACCACCAGUGGCGAAGGCGGUCCGCCAGAACGCGCUCGACGGUGAGGGACGAAAGCUGGGGGAGCGAACCGGAUUAGAUACCCGGGUAGUCCCAGCUGUAAACGAUGCGAGCUAGGUGACAGAGUGGCUAAGGGCUACUCUGGUGCCGCAGGGAAGCCGUUAAGCUCGCCGCCUGGGGAGUACGGUCGCAAGACUGAAACUUAAAGGAAUUGGCGGGGGAGCACCACAAGGGGUGAAGCCUGCGGUUCAAUUGGAGUCAACGCCGGGAAUCUUACCGGGAGUGACAGCAGGGUGAAGGUCAGGCUGAAGACCUUACCAGACGAGCUGAGAGGAGGUGCAUGGCCGUCGCCAGCUCGUGCCGUGAGGCGUCCUGUUAAGUCAGGCAACGAGCGAGACCCCUGCCGUCAAUUGCUAGCACUAUCCGAAAGGAUGGUGAGGCUAGUUGGUGGGACUGCCGUCGCUAAGACGGAGGAAGGAAGGGGCCACGGCAGGUCAGUAUGCCCCGAAACUCCCGGGCCACACGCGGGCUGCAAUGGUAGGGACAGCGGGUUCCGACCUCGAAAGAGGGAGGCAAUCCUCAAACCCUACCUCAGUUGUGACUGAGGGCUGUAACCCGCCCUCACGAAUCUGGAAUCCCUAGUAACCGCGUGUCAACACCGCGCGGUGAAUACGUCCCUGCUCC
This 863-nucleotide ribosomal RNA is filed under the name uncultured archaeon. Its description in RNAcentral is "bacterial SSU rRNA". It matches the Rfam family "Archaeal small subunit ribosomal RNA", at positions 474 to 1336 of the family's 1478-position model. The record is from RNAcentral.